AAAUAAUGAGGUUGACUUGCAUGAAGACUCAGAAGUAGCAUGACCCAGUUUGGAGACCACCAAAGUCAGGGAAUUUCAUUCAGAAGAAGGAUAGACUACUUAACGUAUUUGAAGAAAUUGAGAAGAAAUAUGCACUGGGGGAUAUUUGAACAUUGAAUUCAUGUGUCUUCAUUGAAAACUUUUUAUGGAAGCAUGUAACUUGCGUACCCAAAGGGUACAUAUCAUAAACAUACAACUUGAUAUUUUUCACAAAAAUGAACACAGCCUUGUAACUACCUUCAAGAGAAAGAAAUGGAAGAUUCCAGAAUAUUCCCUCAUGGGAUGGCUUCAUCUACCCCCUUCCAAUUGCUACCCACAAGGGUAACCCUUUUCCAUUUCUAACAUGUAGAUUCAUGUUGACCAUUUUGUAUUUUAUAUAAAUGGAGUCAUACAGUAUGUCA
Long non-coding RNA from Herpailurus yagouaroundi (jaguarundi), 440 nucleotides. RefSeq lists it as uncharacterized. The transcript has 3 exons. NCBI's taxonomy places the organism in Eukaryota, Metazoa, Chordata, Mammalia, Carnivora, Felidae. The record is from RefSeq and is a predicted model, not a curated record.